CGCGAAGGAAGUCUGCCACGCCGGCGAUUUGGCGCUGUUGUCGCAGCAAGUUCAGGAGCGGAGAGCACUGCUUGAUGUUGAGACACAUGCCGGCCCGGCCGCUUGGAUUUGUGCAGCCAUCUGUUGGCAAUAACAGUCCUGCCUGUGUGCUUCGCUUCGAGACGUAAACACAUUCAAAAGCGACUUACAUUGUGUAUCGUAAGAACUCACCUGUGUUGUUGACGUGUGACGACCGCAGCUUCACUGAGCAUCCGGCGUGCUGACUGCGACCUUCAUCCAUCUGUUCGUUACUUCUCCAGCCACCGGUCGCUGCUGAGUGACGCGUGGGGGAUUUCCUCUCAUGACCUUUACAGCUGAGAACUUGUUCGGAGGGUUCCAUGUCAGUUCAGUUGUACUUUCCAUGGCAGGUUAUUUAUUAUUCGUUCUAUGAACGAAAUGCAUAGCGAGAAAGCAUAAGGUCAUGUCUGUCCAGGCGAUUCAACUCGAUAAGCACUGGGCGAAAUUUGAUGUCGAGGUUGUAUUAUUCUGCAAUAUCUCAAAAUCGCAUUUUGAGUAUCCAGUACGAACGGCAAUAACAUAAUGUCUGGAGAAAACAGUCAUGAGAUAGACGUUGAGGUGCUGCGAUCUGAUGGCCAAAGUUGGAACUAUUGAAUAAGAUGGUUUUAAUUCCUCUAUAAGCAUGUUGUGAAGAAUGCAUGAGGAUAUAUUAUGUAUAUUCCGGUACGGAAUACACUUUCAUAGCUUGUUACAAUGACCAGGACUUUUCAGUACUUGUCAAUGGAUCUGUGUUCUAUACCAAAUAAGUUAGACUUGUAGGAGCAAACAGCAGGAUGAUAAUAGCAACUUACUGGUAGAUCCAAUCAGAAUUUUGAAUAGGCUGAAAAAUUUCUUUAACCAGCUCUUAAAUGUUCAUAGGACUGAUGAUAGACAUACGGCUGAACUAUUAGUGCCAGAUCCUAGUUAGAUGAAGUUGAACUACCCAUUGGAAAGUUGAAAAGUUAUAAAUUUCCAGGCAUUUAUCACAUUCCAGCAGAAUUAAUUAAAACAGGUGGAAAAAAUUGCACAUGAAGUUCCAUAAGCUUAUUCAGUUAAUUUGGGGUAAGGAAGAGAUGCCACAGCAAUGGAAGGAAUUAUUCCUGUUCUUAAGAAGGGGGACAACACAGUGUGGUAGUUGCCAAGGAAUUUAUAUUAAACAUUCUUCUGGCGAGAUUAACACCAUAUGUGAGUGAAAUUAUGGGAAAUCAUCAGUAUGGCUUAAGACAAAACAUGUCAUCGAUUGUUUAUGGAUUUCAAAAAAGCCUGUGAUUCUGUUAAGAGAGAAGUUCUGUACCAAAGAAGCUACUGAGUGUAAUAAAAAUGUGCUUCAAUGUAA
Molecule: non-coding RNA, 1372 nt
Organism: Zootermopsis nevadensis
Lineage: Eukaryota; Metazoa; Arthropoda; Insecta; Blattodea; Termopsidae
Source: RefSeq, a predicted model, not a curated record